RNAcentral lists this ribosomal RNA (497 nucleotides) under uncultured bacterium. RNAcentral's name for it is "partial 16S ribosomal RNA". It matches the Rfam family "Bacterial small subunit ribosomal RNA", at positions 28 to 507 of the family's 1533-position model. The record is from RNAcentral.
GAUGAACGCUGGCGGCGUGCCUAAUACAUGCAAGUCGAGCGAACAGACGAGGAGCUUGCUCCUUUGACGUUAGCGGCGGACGGGUGAGUAACACGUAGAUAACCUACCUAUAAGACUGGGAUAACUUCGGGAAACCGGAGCUAAUACCGGAUAAUAUUUCGAACCGCAUGGUUCGAUAGUGAAAGACGGCUUUGCUAUCACUUAUAGAUGGAUCUGCGCCGUAUUAGCUAGUUGGUAAGGUAACGGCUUACCAAGGCGACGAUGCGUAGCCGACCUGAGAGGGUGAUCGGCCACACUGGAACUGAGACACGGUCCAGACUCCUACGGGAGGCAGCAGUAGGGAAUCUUCCGCAAUGGGCGAAAGCCUGACGGAGCAACGCCGCGUGAGUGAUGAAGGUCUUCGGAUCGUAAAACUCUGUUAUUAGGGAAGAACAAAUGUGUAAGUAACUGUGCACGUCUUGACGGUACCUAAUCAGAAAGCCACGGCUAACUACGUG